This 271-nucleotide unclassified non-coding RNA is filed under the name Hevea brasiliensis (rubber tree). The record is from RNAcentral. Lineage: Eukaryota; Viridiplantae; Streptophyta; Magnoliopsida; Malpighiales; Euphorbiaceae.
GCACUGGCAACUUCAUUUCCUAUCAGAAGAUCAAGCAAAUUGUGACAAGGAACUUCAAGCUUCUUCUCUUUCAUUCUUGUGAACCGUCAAAGCUGCCUUGCGCGUUUGCCCGCUUUCUUUCUCUCCAGUUUUCACCCCAUACUUUUGCUUCUGCAACUGCACGUUCUCUGUUUAGGUCGCGGUUCCUUGGUGUUUCCCUUGCUCUCCCAGUAUAUACAGGACUGUCUCGCAGAGAUUCUUGUCGCUCUAGCUCAUCCAAUCCCCAUUUUCG